RNAcentral lists this non-coding RNA (30 nucleotides) under Homo sapiens (human). The record is from RNAcentral. Lineage: Eukaryota; Metazoa; Chordata; Mammalia; Primates; Hominidae.
ACUAGGCUAAGGUCACUAACUGUUGCUGAC